Long non-coding RNA from Folsomia candida, 477 nucleotides. RefSeq lists it as uncharacterized. The transcript is spliced from 4 exons. The record is from RefSeq and is a predicted model, not a curated record. Lineage: Eukaryota; Metazoa; Arthropoda; Collembola; Entomobryomorpha; Isotomidae.
AAAAGUUUUAAUUAAGGAAAAAACCUUGACGUGGACUUAUAGACAGACAUCCGCGGUACUUUGGCUACAAUCGUAUAAAAGAGAGGCUGCGCCACAAUUGGAAAUAAAUAAGUGGGAAACCUACUGCGAACUUGAUAUUCUGAUCAGAAGGAGUUGUUCAGGCAGGAAUUUGACGUGAAAUGAAUUUGAAGUCCCUCUUUCUGGCGGUGGUCCUCUUCGUGGGAGUUUUGAUCAUGCAGGUGGACCAGGUAGAGGGACAAGACCCCAAUGCAUGCGUGUGGACUCGGUGCGGGAACCCGUGGCCAAAAUGCGAUGAACACCGCUACGAGGCGAAUAUUGAACGGUGCGGAUUUCCAAAUAGGAAGAGGCGGUAUUGUUGUUUGAACUAAGAAAUUAGUAUAUGGUGGAGGAUGAGGUGAUAUAUUUAUGUAGGAAGGAUGAAAUUUGGGAAGAAUAAAGCCCUUCAUUGAAAAGCGA